Magnolia sinica is the source of this 1102-nucleotide long non-coding RNA. RefSeq lists it as uncharacterized. The transcript is spliced from 3 exons. Lineage: Eukaryota; Viridiplantae; Streptophyta; Magnoliopsida; Magnoliales; Magnoliaceae. The record is from RefSeq and is a predicted model, not a curated record.
CAUGUCCAAUUCUGAGGAAGAUGCCUCAUGGACUAUUGAGAGAGAAUGUCAGAGGUAGCUGGAGACGCAUGGAAGAAUUGCCUUCGCCAACUGCAACUUCACGACCUUAGAGCUAAGGAUUCAAAUCCAAGCUGCCAAACUCAAUUUAUGGAUCUCAAUGCAGAUGUCUUAUUGGCCACAGAUUUUGGCGAUGUUGUUAAAUUAAAUGUAAAGCAUGUUUGGAUGCAAGGCAUGCUCAGUUGAAUUGAACUUAAUGAAACAAAGAAAAAUGAAAAAAAAUAAAAAAUAAAAAAUCUUGAAUCAGGUAUCAUUAUUCUAAUUUGAAUGAGGUUGGCAUUGCAUAUCAUGUAUUUUAAUUCAGACUCAAUAUCAUCUGAAUUUGCAGUUUCGGUCCUUUUCCCUCUAGCAGUGUGCUUGCUACUCAUUUUUUGUCAAAGCAAAUGCUUUUUUGAAUUUGAAUAAAAUUAAGGUCCUGCUUCCCACCUAAAUAUAAAUAAAUGGCGAUUUCGACUAUUACCCAUUUAAUGUCUGACAAAAGAAAUGCUUCUAGCUUUCCAAAUCUCCCAACAACAUUGAUGGCAUGACCCAAAUGAUUACGUUUAGGUACUUCUAGCCAUUUAAACAAUCCAUUCUUCCCCUAUCAAAUGUAAAUCACUGUCCAUCCAUUUGCCAUUCUUCUCUAACCUUUGAGGUGUGUUUGGAUACAUAAUCCAAGCAGAAAUGGAAAUUGCUUUUCAUCGGCUUGCAUUUUUGUGCUGUUUUAUACGAUGAAUUAUAGGUCUAGAUGAAAUUUACAAUGAUCAUAUAUCUAGAAAUAUCAUGAUAUUUUGACCAUCUAAUCUCAUGUUUGGGAUCAUAUAUCUAGAAAUAUGUCUAGAUUGUCAUGUAUACAGUGCGCAUAUAGAUGAACAUAUGGAUAAAAUACAUGCACGCUUGUUGGUGCUUCCUGGUGAAAGGGUUGAAGGCCUGAUUUCUCCUACAGGGAACUGACAUCUCUACAACAUAAAUCAGACACUGACUGGUAGUAACUGGAAAAAGGUUUAUAGAUGCUGGAAUUUGCAUUCGAAUGCUGGGAAUUGUGAUCAGAUUGCUAUAUUUUUUU